GGAAUGAAGCCCUCUAUAGAGCAGCCACCGUGGGAGCAGGAGCUCACAAGAGGAGCUGAGAAGACAAAGUGUCUGGAGACGUCAUGAUUUCAGAGGCCAAAACUGUCCAAAAACCUCACAAAAACACUGGACAACUGUACAGAGCACAUUAUUGGCAAGAAUAUUGAACUGCACAUUAUUGGCAAGAUAAACCACAUGCUACCUUUUCCUAUUGCACCUUCUUUCUGGCUUUGCAGAUUAGCAAGGAACUCAUUCUCCUGGGUACUCUCACUUUGGAAUAUUGAAGACAAUCCUUGAGGAAUAUUUAUGGAAGCAUACUGGUCACAGGAAUCAUGAGCACAACGGAAGGAACAAUGCAUCCUUUCCCAUUCUAGCAAGGAUGUCUCAGGGACUCUAUUGACUCUGAUGCAUUGAGACUAUUUCUCACUCUGGCAAGGUUCCGUUAAACAUGCAACACUUUUUUGCCAUAAUAUAGCCAAACAAAAUUCUUAUUGCUGUGUUAGACUCCAUAUUGUAUAAGGAAAAUGGAACCAAGAAGAAGUGGUGGGAAACAAUCUGAGUAAAAAGUGCCUCAGGUGUACGUGCUUUCAGUCAUAACUAUAACUAUAGCUUAUUCAGAACUUGCAGUCUACAUAUUUGUCACUACCUUUUUUAGAAAAUAUGUAUAAUAGAAGUACAGUCUGUUGUAGACCAACAUAGGUCUAAGACUGUAAAGGCUUUGUAUGUUCCUGAGCAAAAUAUGGAUAGGAAGGAAAAGAUGAUAAAUAAUUGCAUUCUAGAUUCAUACAAAACAAUGUUAAAGGCCCAAAUUCUGUCUAAACUUGUAGAUAUUAAAUACUGCCAUUAAAGUAAAUUGUAUGAACCAAUGAUAAAGAACUUCA
Agelaius phoeniceus (red-winged blackbird) is the source of this 881-nucleotide long non-coding RNA. RefSeq lists it as uncharacterized. Lineage: Eukaryota; Metazoa; Chordata; Aves; Passeriformes; Icteridae. The record is from RefSeq and is a predicted model, not a curated record.